This 1293-nucleotide ribosomal RNA is filed under the name Triticum aestivum (bread wheat). Its description in RNAcentral is "partial small subunit ribosomal RNA". Lineage: Eukaryota; Viridiplantae; Streptophyta; Magnoliopsida; Poales; Poaceae. The record is from RNAcentral.
AUGGCGGCGUCCGCUCCGAACUGGACCACCCUCCUGCCGGAUCUGCUGGGCCAGGUGAUCGCGCGCCUCCCGCACAUCGCCGACCGCGCCCGUCUUCGCGCCGUGUGCCACUCGUGGCGCUCGGCCGUGCGGCAGCACGUCUCCCCUCGGCGGCGGCUCCCUUGGAUCGUCCUCGAGGAAGGCCACUACCUGACGCCCUCCGACGGUGCCGUCCACCGCCUCCCCUUCCCCAACAACACCAGAUGCGUCGGAUCCACCAACGAGUGGAUCGCCCUCGACUCCACGGACGACGUUACGCGGGCGCACAGGUACGCGCUGCACAACCACUUCUCCGGCGCCACCGUGCCGCUGCCGGAGCUGGACUCCGUCAUCGGCGAGGUUCCGGACGAGUUCGAGAUCCGUAAGGUGCUCAUGAGGUCGACCCCCGAUGACCUUGUUGCUGUCACUGGAAACAUCUGGAAGUACCCUCUGAUCCUGUGCCGACCCGGGAAGGGAGUGUGGGUGCCAAGGCUAUUGGCCAUGAUGUACCGUCGUAUCAGUGACAUUGCAUUCUUCCAAGACGAGCUCUACGUGGUCACCAAGGCCGAUGAUCUCUUUGCCCUCCGUCUUGCCGAGGACAAGGAUUGCAAGCCCAUCGUCACCGGUGUCAAACGAAUCAUCAACCAUGCCCCCGGCCAUGAGGACGAUAUGUACGACGAAGCCGACAUGUGGAAGAGGUUGACUGAUGACAUCGGUUCAUCGAGUGACGACGAACACACUGAGAAAGACUGCGAGGCAUCAUCUGAACAUGGCAACUAUGACACGUUGAUUCAAGAAGACGCUCAUUAUGAAUUGGCUGGUGAAGAUGGUGACAACCAACACUUGGCUUUCAGUGAAGAGGAUACAUUUUCUGAAUGUGAAGAGGGGGUGAAAGAAGGGUGCGACGCCGUCCACACCAGCAGGCACCUUAUCAAGUCACAAGGUAAACUGCUCAUGGUUAAGCGAGAGCGGCUGAUUGCAGCAUCCACUCCAACCGACCACACUCGCAAGAUCGAGGUGUUUGAGGCGGAUAUGGUCACAGGGACAUGGGUACCACUCAACGGUGGGCUAGGCAGCGGCCAGGCGAUCUUCAUCAGCAAUCGCUUUAGCGGUACCUUUUCUGCCCGCGGAGAAGUGGAAGAGGAUGCCAUGUAUUUUCCUGAUACAAAUGACGUGUUUGACAUGAGAUCCGCCACUAUCAGGCCGAUAGUCCCCAUGGAUUUGUUAGAUGACAGAUGGAGGGCGUGGGUUUUUCCACCGGACCUAGUUGCUUAA